GUGAAGAAAGUGAACAAGGCAGAUGGAGAUAAAUUCAAAAACAGAGAUCCGAAAGGCUGCUAAGAGAGAAAGGAACAGGAAUCUCCCAGUUCCUGAGAGCCUCCCAGGCUUUCUCCCUCGAUGUUUGGAGUUUUAUGCCUAUGUAAUCAGUGCAGACAGCCGUUAAGUAAAUGAAGAGGCAACUAACAAUGUCAGAAAAGAGACCGGGCGGUUCCGGCUGACACUACCCUAAUCUUCCAGGACCCAUUAAAUGGUAGUUUCAACGCAUUACCUACCAUAACAUCCUUGAAUAUCACUGAUUUUAUUUGCAGUAUCAAACAUUCCAUUUCAUGCCCCAUUAACAGUGGGAGCCUGGGCUUUUUGACGCAGCUAAACAUUUUACUAACUACCUGGACUAAGUAACCAAUUAACUUUUGGAGACAAUACGGCCAAUUAAGCGCGAAAAGAAAAUUUGGAAAACAGGCUUUUCCUAUCCGGAUGAACAGAGAUAAUUUGUGUCGAUGGAUGUUCUGUGAAGGCCUAUUGUGUCGAGCAGCGUAUUAAAACAUAAACAUGGCUCUUCCCCCAAGAAACUUACAUUUCAGUAAGGGAGCCUGGCCAAAAUGGAAAACUGCAAGGUUCAAAUCCUGGAGUGCAGAAGAAGCAUUAGGCAUUGACCCUGUGGCUUCCUAAUAGAUCCGCAAAGUGCUUUGUUCCUGGAAAUCAUCCGAUGAGUAGUUCAGUGCUAUUGUAUAUCUUGUUAGAGCAGCCGAAGUGCCACAAAAUGAACUAAAAUCUCCCUGCAGAGUUGCUGUAUCAUAUGCUGAGAACAUUCGGAACUUUCAACAAAUUCAUGUUACGAUCCUGGGUAGCCAUGGUUAAAUCUGUACAGGGGUUAAAUGAGAAAUAUGAGCCUGCUGUUAAGUGUCUUCUGAGAGUGACAAAGCUCUGGCCAUAAGGGAUGGGAGAGGAGGGAUUUCUUCUCAGCCUUCCAGCCCUUUCCAGCUGUAUCACAGACAGGAGACAUAAUGCAAAGGGGCUCAGACAUUGACUUCCUGGAUCUUUGCGGCCCCAGGCAUUGACCCCCUCUACCUGGCUUUUCCUACGCUGUAAAAUGAGGAUCCUCCUAUAUUAUGGAGUUUAUUGUGACAACUAAAUAGCUGAGAAGAAGGACAUCUCAUUUGUUUUAACUAUGCAGUUUCCUGUCUAUCUAUCUAUCUAUCCCAUCAAUCUAUCAAUCAAUCUAUCAAUCUGUCUAUCCCUAUCUAUCUAUCCAUCUAUCUAUCUAUAUCUGUCUAUAUCUAUCUAACAUUUAUCUAUCAUCUAUUCAUCUAUCAGCUAUCUUCUGUCUAUCAAUAUUUCAAUCAAUCUCUCUAUCCCUAUCAAUUAAUCUAUCUACCUACCUAUCAACUAUCCAUCUAUCUCUAUCAUCUAUCAUCUAUUCAUCUAUCAUUUAUCAUCUGUCAAUCCAUCUUCCUACUAUCUAUCAAAAGCAACACAUUUUCUUCCUGACUUUAAAAAUAUUUAAGUGGGCCGGGAGGAUGGCUCACGCCUGUAAUCCCAGCACUUUGGGAGGCCUAGGCGGGCGGAUCACGAGGUCAGGAGAUGGAGACCAUCCUGGCUAACAUGGUGAAACCCCGUCUCUACUAAAAAUACAAAAAAAAAAAAAAAUUAACCAGGCGUGGUGGAGGGCGCCUGUAGUCCCAGCUACUCGGGAGACUGAGGCAGGAGAAUGGGGAGAACCCGGGAGGCGGAGCUUGCAGUGAGCCGAGAUCAUGCCACUGCACUCCAGCCUGGGCGACAGAGCAAGACUCCAUCUCAAAAGAAACAAAAACAAAAACGUAAGUGAUACUCUGUCCACUCUUUUGAUUGAGGAGGUCUGAUUUUCAGGCUUUGGAUUUUAUUAUGUCUUCAAUAUAAUAAUUGUUCCAUGUAUCUCUCCUAAAUUGCCAUUUGAAAAACUGCUUUUCUGAAGUUUAAAGUGCACAUUUUGAUACAUCUUGACACAUAUAUACACCCAUGAAAUCAUCACCACAAUCAGGAUAGUAGAUCUAUCCAUUACCGCCAAGGUUUACUUGCACUCCUUUGAACUUUCUCCCCACUCCUCACCCCCUGCCUAUCCCCAAUCCUUAAGCAAUCACUGAUUUGCUUUCUGUCACUAUCAGUUAAUUUGAAUUUUUCAGAAAUGUAUAUAAAUAAAAUCAUUCGACGUGUAUGCUCUUUUUCUGUUCACCCGGUACAAUUUGAGAUUUAGCCAUGUUUUUGCAUGUGUCAAUAGUUUAUUUUUUUGUUGCUCAGUACUAAUCCAUUUUAUGGAUACAGAGAAAUGUAUUAAUGCAAUCCCAUAUUAAUAGGCAUUUGGGUUGUUUCCAGGUUUGGGCUGUUACAAAUAAAGCUGCUAUGAACAUUUUUGUGCAA
Molecule: long non-coding RNA, 2397 nt
Filed under: Homo sapiens (human)
Lineage: Eukaryota; Metazoa; Chordata; Mammalia; Primates; Hominidae
Description: HSALNT0383439
Source: RNAcentral